Non-coding RNA from Podarcis lilfordi (Lilford's wall lizard), 69 nucleotides. NCBI's taxonomy places the organism in Eukaryota, Metazoa, Chordata, Lepidosauria, Squamata, Lacertidae. The record is from the annotation of a GenBank genome assembly.
GCCAAGUGUUAGCUCGGUCGGCAGAGCUUGAGGCUCUCAGGGUCGUGCGUUCGAGCCCCACAUUGGGCA